GACGAACGCUGGCGGCGUGCUUAACACAUGCAAGUCGAGCGGAGCGGCGAACGGGCGAGUAACGCGUGAGUAACUGCCCCCCUUUCUGGGAUAACAGUUGGAAACGGGUGCUAAUACCGGAUAGUGGGGGAUGAAUGGGGUCCUAUCAGCUUGUUGGUGGGGUAGUGGCCUACCAAGGCGACGACGGGUACCCGGCCUGGAAGGGCGACCGGGCACAUGGGGCUGAGGUACGGCCCAAACUCGUACGGGGGGCAGCAGGGGGGAAUAUUGCACAAUGGGGGAAACCCUGAUGCAGCAACGCGCGUGCGGGAUGACGGCCUUCGGGUUGUAAACCGCUUUCAGCCAUGACGCGGUAGUGGCAGAAGAAGCACCGGCUAACUACGUGCCAGCAGCCGCGGUAAUAC
This 404-nucleotide ribosomal RNA is filed under the name uncultured bacterium. RNAcentral's name for it is "partial 16S ribosomal RNA". It matches the Rfam family "Bacterial small subunit ribosomal RNA", at positions 28 to 526 of the family's 1533-position model. The record is from RNAcentral.